Molecule: ribosomal RNA, 51 nt
Filed under: Dorea sp. AM58-8
Lineage: Bacteria; Bacillati; Bacillota; Clostridia; Lachnospirales; Lachnospiraceae
Description: partial 23S ribosomal RNA
Source: RNAcentral
GUGGUAACACAUGUAGCUGACUGAUACUAAUCGGUCGAGGGCAUAACCAAG